Molecule: ribosomal RNA, 97 nt
Filed under: Cladosporium sphaerospermum
Lineage: Eukaryota; Fungi; Ascomycota; Dothideomycetes; Cladosporiales; Cladosporiaceae
Also listed under: 1 other name
Description: partial 18S ribosomal RNA
Rfam family: Eukaryotic small subunit ribosomal RNA
Source: RNAcentral
CGACCACCCAGGGCCGGAAAGUUGGUCAAACCCGGUCAUUUAGAGGAAGUAAAAGUCGUAACAAGGUCUCCGUAGGUGAACCUGCGGAGGGAUCAUU